UACGUAGGGUGCAAGCGUUGUCCGGAAUUAUUGGGCGUAAAGGGCUCGUAGGCGGUCCAUCACGUCGGGAGUGAAAAGCUGGGGCUUAACCCCAGUCCUGCUUCCGAUACGGGUGGACUAGAGGUAGGCAGGGGAGAACGGAAUUCCUGGUAUAGCGGUGAAAUGCGCAGAUAUCAGGAGGAACACCGGUGGCGAAGGCGGCUUCCUGGCCGAGUACUGACGCUGAGGCACGAAAGCGUGGGGAGCGAACGGG
RNAcentral lists this ribosomal RNA (253 nucleotides) under uncultured bacterium. RNAcentral describes it as "partial 16S ribosomal RNA". It matches the Rfam family "Bacterial small subunit ribosomal RNA", at positions 524 to 776 of the family's 1533-position model. The record is from RNAcentral.